AUUAUAAAGGAGCAAAGCAUGGCGUCUAGAAUAUGAACCAGUAUACAUUAAAUUAAGUUAUAUAAAAAUGAUAAAUCUGUUCGGCUAAAAAUGUCAAACGCUAUUUGUAUUAAUUACCCGAAAAGAUAGGGUUUAUCAGGCUAGCGAUUGACGGCUGACUAAAUAGUAGAAUGGGGCUGAAUAUUGAAAUACUACUUUUUGAUAAAUAUUCCUAAAGUAAUGAACUAGAGAAUUUCUCGCUCGAACACACACUCCAUAAUCUAGUAUAUUAUAAGAGCAUAAACCUGAA
RNAcentral lists this long non-coding RNA (289 nucleotides) under Mytilus galloprovincialis (Mediterranean mussel). Lineage: Eukaryota; Metazoa; Mollusca; Bivalvia; Mytilida; Mytilidae. The record is from RNAcentral.